AAUCAACGCUGGCGGCGUGCCUCAGACAUGCAAGUCGAACGCGAAAUUUCCCUUCGGGGAGAAAGUAGAGUGGCGCACGGGUGAGUAACACGUAGGUAAUUUGCCUUUGGGUGGGGAAUAACUCAGGGAAACUUGAGCUAAUACCGCAUAAUGCAGCGGCUCGACAUCGAGACAGUUGUUAAAGCGGGGGAUUGGAGCAAUCCGACCUCGCGCCUAAAGAGAAGCCUGCGGCAGAUUAGCUAGUUGGUAAGGUAAUGGCUUACCAAGGCGACGAUCUGUAACCGGCCUGAGAGGGCGGGUCGGUCACACUGACACUGACAUACGGGUCGAGACUCCUACGGGAGGCAGCAGUCGGGAAUUUUGGGCAAUGGGCGCAAGCCUCGA
This 384-nucleotide ribosomal RNA is filed under the name uncultured bacterium. Its description in RNAcentral is "bacterial SSU rRNA". It matches the Rfam family "Bacterial small subunit ribosomal RNA", at positions 32 to 386 of the family's 1533-position model. The record is from RNAcentral.